Hyaena hyaena (striped hyena) is the source of this 753-nucleotide long non-coding RNA. RefSeq lists it as uncharacterized. The transcript is spliced from 4 exons. The record is from RefSeq and is a predicted model, not a curated record. Lineage: Eukaryota; Metazoa; Chordata; Mammalia; Carnivora; Hyaenidae.
GCCUCUGCUUGCCUCUCCCCAGGUAACUACUGAUGUGCUUUCUCUCAAUCAAGAUGAGUUUGCAUUUUCCAGAGUUUUAUAUAAAUGGAAUCAGACACUCUUACAGAGCAAGAGGAAGCAGGCUGUGAAACACAAUGUUCAUUGAAAUCGGCUUUCAUCUGAGGAAUCCCAUGGUGGCUCCUGCUUCGAGAUGUGCAUUCUGUCUGCAGCUGAGCUCUCCUGAUGCAUUUCCGCUGUUUGUUCUGAGGGGAAGGCAGCACCUUUAUGAGACUCACUCUUUUACUAGAGAAAAACAUCCUGGAUCCAAGAAAAAGUGGAUUAAGAAGAGGGCUAAGUCAGUACAUGGAGAAGCAAGUCAACACUGGUUACUCUGUCUUGCUAGACACCUUCUCUCUUCUAUCACAGCCCUUCCUUCUCUGCUCCACCCCAUCUGGACUGACCAGCCUCUAGCGCAAAGAUAAUUAUCUCUGUAUAUGGAUAGAAGGGUGAACAUGAGAUCUUCAUUUCCAUGGCACUUUUGACUCUGGAUAUAGUGUUUUCCUUGGACUCUUAAAAUAAGCUGGCAAAGUUGGGAAGGCAUGGUCUAUCUCAGCAGCAGAGGGGUCAGCAGAGAGACGGAAGAAGUAAUCAACACAAUAUCUACAAAGGCUGGGAUCCUGACUGCAAUUCUGUGCACCCCAAGAAUAAAUGGGAACAACAUUGGAACACAAGAAAAAAGAGUGAGGGAGAGAAUCAAACCCUGCAGGCUAUGUA